GUCUAUGGUGGCUGUGCGUGGGAGGCUUUCGAGCCUGCCUGGAUUGGAAAAUGCCCGGGUCUACCACCUCGCGUACAGUCGCCACCCAU
The submitters of this non-coding RNA (89 nucleotides) gave its source as unclassified sequences. The record is from Rfam.